Molecule: ribosomal RNA, 508 nt
Filed under: uncultured Desulfobulbus sp.
Lineage: Bacteria; Pseudomonadati; Thermodesulfobacteriota; Desulfobulbia; Desulfobulbales; Desulfobulbaceae
Description: bacterial SSU rRNA
Rfam family: Bacterial small subunit ribosomal RNA
Source: RNAcentral
CGCCUUGCCAGCCCGCUCAGAACUUAAAGGAAUUGACGGGGCCCGCACAAGCGGUGGAGUAUGUGGUUUAAUUCGAUGCAACGCGAAGAACCUUACCUGGUCUUGACAUCCCGGAGACCCUUAGGAAACUAGGGGUGCUUCCAUCUGGAAGAAUCUGGAGACAGGUGCUGCAUGGCUGUCGUCAGCUCGUGUCGUGAGAUGUUGGGUUAAGUCCCGCAACGAGCGCAACCCUUGCCUUUAGUUGCCAGCAGUUCGGCUGGGCACUCUAAAGGGACUGCCGGUGUUAAACCGGAGGAAGGUGGGGAUGACGUCAAGUCCUCAUGGCCUUUAUGACCAGGGCUACACACGUACUACAAUGGCCGAUACAAAGGGCAGCGACACUGCGAGGUGAAGCCAAUCCCGUAAAAUCGGUCUCAGUCCGGAUUGGAGUCUGCAACUCGACUCCAUGAAGUUGGAAUCGCUAGUAAUCGUGGAUCAGCAUGCCACGGUGAAUACGUUCCCGGGCCUU